AACGUAUUUUGUAAUGCUAUUCCUACAUUUUAAUUCGAAGUUUGCGAGUAGUUGAAUUAUUUUGAUUGAUUCACAUCGAUUUGAUCAUGGAUUCAAAGAAAGGCAGUCCAAAUGCAAGAAGGGCGAAGCGGAGUAGCAAGCAAAUUGAAGAAAAUUACUGGGACUGCAGUGUCUGUACCUACAGAAAUAAUGCAGAGGCAUUUAAAUGUUCAAUGUGUGAUGUAAGAAAAGGAACCUCAACCAGGAAACCAAGGCUCAAUCCUCAGUUGGUACCUCAAGUGUUCAAUCCUUCCUUAGCUAACAAAAAUAGAAAAGAGAAGGAAUCUAAAGAAAGAGAUAAAUCUGAGAGGAAAUCAUCAGAUGGAAACCCCACCAGGAACAGUAAAGCCAGACCAAGGUUGAAAAAUGUUGACAGAAGCACUGCAAUGCACAAAGAAGUGACAGUGAACAAUGUGACAGUAGUCAUUACUGAGUUUCGGCCAAAAAUUAGCAGCAAGUCAACAUCUCCCAGUAACCUUGAUCUGGAUGCUGGACACACGACCAGUAGUUCUAGCAGUAGUGCCAGCAAUCACGGCAACGAUCUUUCCCCUGCAGAUCAAGAACAUUCAGACUGACUAAAGUCGUUGCUCGUGAUUCAUUUUUUAAUUAUUAUUUAGCAUCUCGAGGCUAUAAUUUGGUCCCAACCGAAUUUCAAUGAGAUAGAACUGGAGCGACAGACGUCCAAACCGAAAACUAUACAUGAAAAACCAAGAGGCAGUUGUCUAUAACUAUUCUGGAUUCAAAGUUUUUCCCUUUUUUUUUUGUAACCACAAAAUUCCAUAAUGUUGGAGAUUAUUUUUGAGUGUUGGGAAUUCCUGUUUCUGAUCGGAUCUCAGUACCAAUAUUCGCUUCCCUUUUUCGGUUUGAACCUACCUCAUCUGAACGGUGCGAAGAGGUCGGGGAAGAUUUGGUAAAAAAUUGAUUAUGUCUGUCGAGUGGAUGGUUUUCGUUUCGUGAUAAAUGUGCGCUCUCAUCCAUCUUUAUAAUUUCACCCUCCUCAUCCACGACAAGUAAAUACACAGCUGUACAAUUUGA
Molecule: unclassified non-coding RNA, 1074 nt
Filed under: Daphnia pulicaria
Lineage: Eukaryota; Metazoa; Arthropoda; Branchiopoda; Diplostraca; Daphniidae
Description: yY1-associated factor 2-like, transcript variant X1
Source: RNAcentral